AACGCACAUUGCGCCCCCUGGUAUUCCGGGGGGCAUGCCUGUUCGAGCGUCAUUACAACCCUCAAGCUCUGCUUGGUAUUGGGCUCUGCCGGUCCCGGCAGGCCUUAAAAUCAGUGGCGGUGCCAUUCGGCUUCAAGCGUAGUAAUUCUUCUCGCUUUGGAGACCCGGGUGCGUGCUAGCCAGCAACCCCCAAUUUUUUUCAGGUUGACCUCGGAUCAGGUAGGGAUACCCGCUGAACUUAA
This 242-nucleotide unclassified non-coding RNA is filed under the name uncultured Pseudeurotium. RNAcentral describes it as "sequence contains ITS2". The stretch from base 1 to 52 matches the Rfam family "5.8S ribosomal RNA", at positions 103 to 154 of the family's 154-position model. Lineage: Eukaryota; Fungi; Ascomycota; Leotiomycetes; Thelebolales; Pseudeurotiaceae. The record is from RNAcentral.